CCACCACUACCACAACAGCACCCACAACAGCUCCAGAAACUACCACAACAGCUGCUGCAACUACCAUAACAGCUGUAUCAACUACCACAACAGCUGCUGCAACCACUACAACAGCACCCACAAGAGCUCCAGAAACUACCACAACAGCUGCUGCAACCACCACAACAGCUCCAGCAUCUACCACAACAGCUCCCACCACUACCACAACAGCACCUACAAGAGCUCCAGAAACUACCACAACAGCUGCUGCAACCACCACAACAGCCCCAAUAACAGCUGCAGCAAUUACCACAACAGCUACCACCACUACCACAACAGCACCCACAACAGCUCCAGAAACUAGCACAACAGCUGCUGCAACCACCACAACAGCUCCAGCAAGCACCACAACAGCUGCUGCAACUACCACAACAGCUGCUACAACCACCCCAACAGCUGCUGCAACUACCACAAGAGCUGCAUCAACUACCACAACAGCUCCAGCAACCACAACAACAGCUCCAGCAACCACCACAACAGCGGCUGCACCUACCACAACAGCUGCUGCAACCACCACAACAGCUCCAGCAACUACCACAACAGCUCCAGCAUCUACCACAACAGGUCCCACCACUACCACAACAGCACCCACAACAGCUCCAGAAACUACCACAACAGCUGCUGCAACCACCACAACAGCACCCACAACAGCUGCCACCAUUACCACAACAGGUCCCACCACUACCACAACAGCACCCACAAGAGCUCCAGUAACUACCACAACAGCGGCUGCAACCACCACAACAGCACCCACAGCAGCUCCCACCACUACCACAACAGCUGCUGCAACUACAACAACGGCAGCCACAAAAGAACCCACAAUAUCUGCCGCCACUACCGCUAAGGCCCCCACAACAGCUGCUGCAACCAUCACAACAGCCCCCAUAACAGCUGCAGCAAUUACCACAACAGCUACCACCACUACCACAACAGCACCCACAACAAAUCCAGAAACUACCACAACAACUCCAGCAACCACCACUACAGCUCCAGCAUCUACCACAACAUCUCCCACAACAGCUCCCACCAAUACCACAACAGCUGCUGCAACCACCUCAACAGCACCCACAACAGGUUCCCAAACCACCACAACAGAAGCUGCCCCAACCACCACAGCAGCACCCAUAACAGCUGCUGCAAGCACCACAACAGCUCCAACAUCUACCACAACAGCUCCCACCACUACCACAACAGCAACCACAACAGCUGCUGCAACCACCACAACAGCUCCAGAAACUACCACAACAGCUGCUGCAACCACCACAACAGCUGCUGCAACUACCACAACAGCUCCAGAAACUACCACAACAGCUGCUGCAACCACCACAACAGCUGCUUCAACUACCACUUCAGCUGCAGCAACUACCACAACAGCCACUGCAACCACCACAACAGCACCCACAGCAGCUCCCACCACUACCACAACAGCUGCUGCAACUACAACAACGGAAGCCACAACAGAACCCACAACAUCUGCCACCACUACCACAAAGGCCCCUACAACAGCUGCUGCAACCACCACAACAGCCCCCAUUACAGCUGCAGCAAUUACCACAACAACUACCACCACUACCACAACAGCACCCACAACAGCUUCAGCAACUACCACAACAGCUCCUGCAACUACAACAACGGAAGCCACAACAGAACCCACAACAUCUGCCACCACUACCACAAAGGCCCCUACAACAGCUAUUGCAAGCACCACAACAGCCCCCUUUACAGCUGCAGCAAUUACCACAACAACUACCACCACUACCACAACAGCACCCACAACAGCUUCAGAAACUACCAAAACAGCUGCUGCAACUACCACAACAGCUCCAGCAACCACCACAACAGCUGCUGCAACUACCACAAGAGCUACUAAAACCACCACAAAAGCUGCUUCAACUACCACAACAGCUGCAGCAACUACUAAAACAGCUGCUGCAAAAACCACAACAGCACCCACAGCAGCUCGCACCACCACCACAACAGCUGCUGCAACUAAAACAACGGCAGCCACAACAGAACCCACAACAUCUGCCACCACUACCACAAAGGCCCCCACAACAGCUGCUGCAACCACCACAACAGCCCCCAUAACAACUUCAGCAAUUACCACAACAGCUACCACUACUACCACAACAGCUCACGCAUCUACCACAACAGCUCUCACAACAGCUCCCACCACUACCACAACAGCUCCACAAACUUACACAACAGCGGCUGCAACCAACACAAUAGCUAUUGCAAGUACCACAACAGCUUUAGCAACUACCACAACAGAACCCACAACAUCUGCCACCACUACCAUAAAGGCCCCCACAACAGCUGCUGCAACCACCACAACAGCCCCCUUUACAACUGCAGCAAUUACCACAACGACUACCACCACUACCACAACAGCACCAACAACAGCUCCAGAAACUACCACAACAGCUGCUGCAACCACCACAACAGCUCCCGCAACUACCACAACAGCUCCAGAAACAACCAAAACAGCUGCUACAACCACCACAACAGCACCAGUAACUACCACAACAGCUGCUUCAACCACCAAAACAGCUCCAGCAACCACCACAACAGCUGCUGCAACUACCACAACCGCUCCAGUAGCCACUACAACAGCUGCUGCAACUACCACAAGAGCUACUGCAACCACCACAACAGCUGCUUCAACUACCACAACAGCUGCAGCAACUACCACAACAGCUGCUGCAACCACCACAACAGCACCCACAGCAGCUCCCACCACUACCACAACAGCUGCUGCAACUACAACAAUGGCAGCCACAACAGAACCCACAUCUGCCACCACUACCACAAAGGGCCCCACAACAGCUGCUACAACUACCACAACAGCUGCGGCAACUACCACAACAGCCCCCACAACCACCACGACCAACACAACAGCCCCCACAACAGCACCCACCACGACCACCACAACAGCCCCCACAACAACCACCACGACCACCACAACAGCCCCCACAACAACAACGAAUGGCACAGCCAUCAGCGGCAGCAACUCUGGUGACGUCAGCAGCAGGAUCAGCCUCUUCACCACCUUCAGCCUCACCCUCCUCUCCGUGCUCGUCACACGGCCGUGGUAGCCG
Long non-coding RNA from Clupea harengus (Atlantic herring), 3137 nucleotides. NCBI's taxonomy places the organism in Eukaryota, Metazoa, Chordata, Actinopteri, Clupeiformes, Clupeidae. The record is from Ensembl.